This is a long non-coding RNA of Suricata suricatta (meerkat), 356 nucleotides long. RefSeq lists it as uncharacterized. The transcript is spliced from 3 exons. The record is from RefSeq and is a predicted model, not a curated record. NCBI's taxonomy places the organism in Eukaryota, Metazoa, Chordata, Mammalia, Carnivora, Herpestidae.
CAGCACAGAAAAGAAGAGAGAGAAACCCUGAGGAAAUAAACAAAUAUCCAGCCUCAAACCUUGAGGCUGAGAUACCAUCAUUUGCAAGAAGCAGAUGAUGAUAUCAGGAUGAACAUUGGACUAAACUAGAUUGAACUUUCAAGACUUCAAAGGGGAUCUGGCUCUUUAAUUCACUGAGGAAGGGUGCCCAGCCAACUCGGCUCCCUUCAGAGGAUGAGACUACCAUCGUUCUUAAUGAUUCGCGCUAGGAAAUCUCUACUACAUCUCUGCCAAGAUCACUAACUGAUCCGCAGUGCGCCUGCCCAAACCGCAGCCGCCUAGCUCUGCAGACACCCAACAACAGCAAAAAGAGCUGC